RNAcentral lists this non-coding RNA (148 nucleotides) under Chlorocebus sabaeus (green monkey). Lineage: Eukaryota; Metazoa; Chordata; Mammalia; Primates; Cercopithecidae. The record is from Rfam by way of RNAcentral.
GCCGGGCGCAGUGGCGCCCGCCUGUAAUCCCAGCUACUCAGGAGGCUGAGGCAGGAGAAUCGCUUGAGCCUGGGAGGCGGAGGUUGCGGUGAGCUGAGAUAGAGCCACUGCACUCCAGCCUGGGUGAUAGAGCGAGACUCUGUCUCAA